This 323-nucleotide long non-coding RNA is filed under the name Cucumis sativus (cucumber). Its description in RNAcentral is "long non-coding RNA (CSAT_LNC002343)". The record is from RNAcentral. Lineage: Eukaryota; Viridiplantae; Streptophyta; Magnoliopsida; Cucurbitales; Cucurbitaceae.
UCGAAACUGGUACCAAGCAUUUCUUAAUAAAUCUCUGCGCAUCCACAUCUUGAAUCUUGUAUAAUGCUGCUGGUAGCUUCCCCUGCACAAAGAAAGUGUAGUGUAGGUAUUAGAUACUUGAUCCCUUCCAAGACGUACAUCAACUUUCGACUCUUGAUUCAUGUUCUCUCACCGACGUGACUUUCUUGUAAAUUUGUGCAGGAUUAGAACAUUCGCUAUAAGGGUACUCCGAAGUAAGCAUCUCUAGGACACACAUGCCAAACGAGUAGACAUCAACUAGCUCAUUGUAAUUCUCCUCGUAUAAUUCCGGUGCCAUAAACUCC